UACCAGACUCCUACGGGAGGCAGCAGUGGGGAAUAUUGGACAAUGGGGGAAACCCUGAUGCAGCGACGCCGCGUGAGUGAAGAAGUAUUUCGGUAUGUAAAGCUCUAUCAGCAGGGAAGAAAAUGACGGUACCUGACUAAGAAGCCCCGGCUAACUACGUGCCAGCAGCCGCGGUAAUACGUAGGGGGCAAGCGUUAUCCGGAUUUACUGGGUGUAAAGGGAGCGUAGACGGCAUGGCAAGUCAGAUGUGAAAGCCCGGGGCUCAACCCCGGGACUGCAUUUGAAACUGUCAGGCUGGAGUGCAGGAGAGGUAAGUGGAAUUCCUAGUGUAGCGGUGAGAUGCGUAGAUAUUAGGAGGAACACCGGUGGCGAAGGCGGCCUGCUGGACUGUAACUGACGUUGAGGCUCGAAAGCGUGGGGAGCAAACAGGAUUAGAUACCCUAGUA
RNAcentral lists this ribosomal RNA (446 nucleotides) under uncultured bacterium. Its description in RNAcentral is "bacterial SSU rRNA". It matches the Rfam family "Bacterial small subunit ribosomal RNA", at positions 329 to 792 of the family's 1533-position model. The record is from RNAcentral.